CGACAGUUACAGGUGCACCGCCCUCCACCGCUAGGCAAAGAAGAGACCGUGACCUUGUUAUAACUCACAUCUUCGACGAUAUAGAGAGUUCGCCGUCAUUGCUUGAUAAUGAAAACCCUCCACCGUACAAUUUUGACGUCCACAUUGAUCGUGCCAGUCUUAAUAUGGCAAGAGAAUGAAAAAAAAAAAAAAUCAAUAUUCGCAUAGAAAGCUGACUCACUAACCCUUAAUGCGACACCCAAAAACAAAACUAAUUAAGAUUUAUAAUUCUUGGGCUGAUUUUAAGUCAUGAGAAAAAUUCAAAUCCAUGAAAGCAAGAAUUACGAAAAUACACACCAUAUUAAUAUUUACAAUGAGAUCGGUUGCCCUUAGUGUGACAUCCAGAGAAACCCAAGUGGGAUUUAAUUUUUGGGUGUUUUGUAGUCUAUUUUUUUUGCUGGAAUUUCAAGCGGGAGAGCUGAUUUACGUGGUUGUUAGUAGGGAAGGGCUGCGAUGUGAUGGAUGGUGAUGAUCGAUGGAUAUGUUCGGGCUGUGGGCUGGAGCUCGACUGGACAGUGAUUUAGGGGACAUCUGGUCCGAUGGAAAGGGAAGUGAGGGGCUGUUGUGAACUGGGUUUUUAGGUGGUAAGGUGGCGAUGUGGAGGAAGAUUCAUGAAUGAUGAUCUCUUGGUAUUUGACUAGAUUUAAUUAAUGGCGUAGACUGGUGGUCCAUCGAGGUUGUGAGGUUGAUUGGUGUGGGCUUGCCGGUCAGGUCUUCUAGGAAAAAGAUAGUGGGUCUUUCAGGGAAUUUGGUGGUGAGACUGCAGGUCGGCUUUAAGCGAUGGAGAAGACGGUAAUGGGACACUGGCCUCUUGUUCGGGUUGGCUCGGGUGGGGAAGGAUGAAUGGGC
Molecule: long non-coding RNA, 888 nt
Filed under: Populus trichocarpa (black cottonwood)
Lineage: Eukaryota; Viridiplantae; Streptophyta; Magnoliopsida; Malpighiales; Salicaceae
Description: long non-coding RNA (PTRI_LNC004172)
Source: RNAcentral